GCGGAGGAAAAGAAACUAACAAGGAUUCCCUUAGUAACGGCGAGUGAAGCGGGAAGAGCUCAAAUUUGAAAUCUUCAAGGUUUUACCUUGACGAAUUGUAGUUUAAAGAAGUGUUUUCUGUUGAAGUUUUGGUAAAAGUUCUUUGGAAUAGGACAUCAUAGAGGGUGAGAAUCCCGUAUUUGACCAUUAUUUUCAGCUGUGUGAUACACUUUCAAAGAGUCGGAUUGUUUGGGAAUGCAGUCCAAAAUGGGUGGUAAAUUUCAUCUAAAGCUAAAUAUUGGCGAGAGACCGAUAGCGAACAAGUACCGUGAGGGAAAGAUGAAAAGAACUUUGAAAAGAGAGUUAAACAGUACGUGAAAUUGUCAAAAGGGAAGCGUUUGACACCAGUGUUGUUUUCUCGAAAAUCAAUUAAAAAAAGUUGGAUUUUGUGUUGUAUUGACCUUAACAGCUUGCUUCACUCUUUUCCAGCUUUUUUUAAUGCACUUUUCGUUUAACAAGUCAACAUCAGUUUCUUUUGUUGUAAAAGGGUCAUUGGAAGGUGGCUUUCUCUUCGGAGAAAGUGUUUAUAGCCUUUGAUCUCUGCAAUCGGAGAGACUGAGGUCUGCAGCGUAGAUCCUUCGGGGUUAGAUACAUUUGUGCUAAGCUACAGCUUUUCAUAGACAACUUGUUGACUAUGUUUAGUCUUGUGACUUACCCGCUUAUGCUAUUUUACCUACGCUUAGGAUAUUGUUGACAAAAUGGUUUUAAACGACCCGUCUUGAAACACGGACC
Molecule: ribosomal RNA, 771 nt
Filed under: Piromyces sp.
Lineage: Eukaryota; Fungi; Neocallimastigomycota; Neocallimastigomycetes; Neocallimastigales; Neocallimastigaceae
Description: LSU rRNA
Rfam family: Eukaryotic large subunit ribosomal RNA
Source: RNAcentral